ACCCUCCAGGCUCCUUGCCCCUCAGAUCCAAACAUUGGUCUGAGUGGCUAGAAAGGAGGGACAGUCACACGGAAACAGACCCGCAUGCCUUUGUGACAAGCUGGA
Molecule: small nucleolar RNA, 105 nt
Filed under: Echinops telfairi (small Madagascar hedgehog)
Lineage: Eukaryota; Metazoa; Chordata; Mammalia; Afrosoricida; Tenrecidae
Description: Small nucleolar RNA SNORA61 (ENSETEG00000026689.1)
Source: RNAcentral